RNAcentral lists this long non-coding RNA (412 nucleotides) under Musa acuminata (dwarf banana). RNAcentral's name for it is "long non-coding RNA (MACU_LNC006352)". The record is from RNAcentral. Lineage: Eukaryota; Viridiplantae; Streptophyta; Magnoliopsida; Zingiberales; Musaceae.
GCGGUGGCGGCGGCGGUGGAGGCGGUGGACAAGGUGAUGGUUCAGGCACUGGCUAUGGCUCUGGCUCAGGCUCAGGCUCAGGCUACGGUUCGGGCGCUGGUGGUGGUCAGGGCGGAGGUUAUGGGAGUGGCGGAGGCGGAGGCGGUGGAGGCGGCGGCGGAACGGGCUCUGGCACGGGCUCCGGCUCCGGCUACGGUUCCGGUUCCGGUUCUGGCUACGGUAGCGGUGGAGGAAAUGGCCACCACUAGAUUUACGCAUACAGAUGUUGGAAGGUAGCAGGAAUAAAAGCUUUAAGGUUGUAUCAGCAGAAGUCAAGUAUGAUGCGUGGAGAUGAUGAAAUAAGUGAUGCUUGUGUAACACCGUAUAAGUGGAACUUGCUUUAUUGCUUAUAAUAAAUAUAUAAAGAAUGCUU